RNAcentral lists this ribosomal RNA (253 nucleotides) under uncultured bacterium. RNAcentral's name for it is "partial 16S ribosomal RNA". It matches the Rfam family "Bacterial small subunit ribosomal RNA", at positions 524 to 776 of the family's 1533-position model. The record is from RNAcentral.
UACGUAGGGUGCGAGCGUUAAUCGGAAUUACUGGGCGUAAAGCGUGCGCAGGCGGCGCGUUAAGACAGGUGUGAAAGCCCCGAGCUUAACUUGGGAAUUGCGCUUGUGACUGGCGUGCUGGAGUGUGGCAGAGGGAGGUGGAAUUCCACGUGUAGCAGUGAAAUGCGUAGAGAUGUGGAGGAACACCGAUGGCGAAGGCAGCCUCCUGGGCCAGCACUGACGCUCAAGCACGAAAGCGUGGGGAGCAAACAGG